AGAGUUUGAUCCUGGCUCAGAACGAACGCUGGCGGCAUGCCUAACACAUGCAAGUCGAACGCGUGUAGCAAUACACGAGUGGCGGACGGGUGAGUAACGCGUGGGAACCUGCCCAAUGGUAGGGAAUAACUGCGGGAAACUGCAGCUAAUACCCUAUGCUCCCUACGGGGGAAAGAUUUAUCGCCAUUGGAGGGGCCCGCGUCUGAUUAGUUAGUUGGCGGGGUAACGGCCCACCAAGACGAUGAUCAGUAGGGGAACUGAGAGGUUGAUCCCCCACACUGGCACUGAGAUACGGGCCAGACUCCUACGGGAGGCAGCAGUAGGGAAUAUUGGACAAUGGGUGCAAGCCUGAUCCAGCCAUGCCGCGUGCAGGAAGAAGGCCUUCUGGGUUGUAAACUGCUUUUGCCGGGGGAUAAAAUAGUCUUGCGAGACGAAUUGAAGGUACCCGGUGAAUAAGCCACGGCUAACUACGUGCCAGCAGCCGCGGUAAUACGUAGGUGGCAAGCGUUGUCCGGAUUUAUUGGGUUUAAAGGGUGCGUAGGCGGUCAAAUAAGUCAGUUGUGAAAUACGGCAGCUCAACUGUCGAGGUGCAAUUGAUACUGUUUGACUUGAGUAUUGUUGAGGUAGGCGGAAUGGACGGUGUAGCGGUGAAAUGCUUAGAGAUCGUCCAGAACACCGAUAGCGAANGCAGCCUACUAAAGAAUAACU
RNAcentral lists this ribosomal RNA (708 nucleotides) under uncultured bacterium. RNAcentral describes it as "bacterial SSU rRNA". It matches the Rfam family "Bacterial small subunit ribosomal RNA", at positions 8 to 741 of the family's 1533-position model. The record is from RNAcentral.